This 253-nucleotide ribosomal RNA is filed under the name uncultured bacterium. RNAcentral's name for it is "partial 16S ribosomal RNA". It matches the Rfam family "Bacterial small subunit ribosomal RNA", at positions 524 to 776 of the family's 1533-position model. The record is from RNAcentral.
UACGUAGGGUGCGAGCGUUAAUCGGAAUUACUGGGCGUAAAGCGUGCGCAGGCGGUUUGUUAAGUCUGAUGUGAAAGCCCCGGGCUCAACCUGGGAACUGCAUUGGAAACUGGCAAGCUCGAGUAUGGCAGAGGGGGGUGGAAUUCCGCGUGUAGCAGUGAAAUGCGUAGAGAUCGGAAAGAACACCAACGGCGAAAGCACUCUGCUGGGCCGACACUGACACUGAGAGACGAAAGCUAGGGGAGCGAAUGGG